AAUGAACGCUUGCGGCGUGCCUAAGACAUGCAAGUCAAACGGGAAAGUUUCUUCGGAAAUGAGUACAGUGGCGCACGGGUGAGUAAUACUUGGGUAACUUACCCUCUCGAGGGGGAUAACUGGGGGAAACUCCAGCUAAUACCGCGUACUCCGUUUGGGACUCCGGUCCUGACCGGGAAAGUCGUAAGACGCGAGAGGAGAGGCCCGAGCCCCAUUAGCUAGUUGGUAGGGUAAAAGCCUACCAAGGCUACGAUGGGUAGCUGGUCUGAGAGGAUGAUCAGCCACACUGGGACUGAGACACGGCCCAGACUCCUACGGGAGGCAGCAGUAGGGAAUCUUCCACAAUGGACGAAAGUCUGAUGGAGCAACGCCGCGUGAGUGAUGAAGGUUUUCGGAUCGUAAAACUCUGUUGUUAGGGAAGAACACCCGGGAGAGGAUCCCGGAUUGACGGUACCUGACGAGAAAGCCCCGGCUAACUACGUGCCAGCCGCCGCGGUAA
This 499-nucleotide ribosomal RNA is filed under the name uncultured bacterium. Its description in RNAcentral is "partial 16S ribosomal RNA". It matches the Rfam family "Bacterial small subunit ribosomal RNA", at positions 29 to 523 of the family's 1533-position model. The record is from RNAcentral.